GUGGGCUGGUGGCUGCAGGGGCUGCCCCACUGGAGCUCUCUGCUAGUCAGAGGAGGCCAGCAGAUCAAGGGGUGUUCAGGUCUGACCAAACCUGUCUGAUGAGCAAGACACCCUGCAGAUAUCAGAGUGGAAGCAGCCUAAGGCCCUCACCAGAAGCAGCUGCUCGUGUCAUUUUUCUUGCAGAGCCGGAAGAACUGUCCCUGAUCAACCAGUCAAGCCGUUCACCACCGCUCGUUUAAUUGAAUGCUCCAGUUCUUUUCAUUUCCGAAGUUAUGGUGAGAAGAACUAAGUGGAAAAUGGUGAUAAAUUACCUGAUAUGCAAAAGCGCAUUCUGCUAAAUGGAAGACAUCCUCAAUUCUGUUGGAGGGGCAGUUACUAUUGAAAUGCAUAAAUGUUUGAGACUAAAUAUUUUCAUAAUACUGUUUUCUCUCCACACCAAGUACUUUUCUCCUGUUUAUAUUGGUAGAAUAUCACAGUUUGUUUGGAUUAAAGUGUAACUUAAAUGUGCACUACAUAAAUUUUGAGAAGAGCUCUACCCCAUGAGAUUUUUUUUUUCUUUUCUUUUCUUUUUUUUUUUUUUGAGAUGGAGUCUCACCCUGUCGCCCAGGCUGGAAUGCAGUGGCACAAGCUCGGCUCACUGCAAGCUCCACCUCAUGGUUCACGCCAUUCUUCUGCCUCAGCCUCCCAAGUAGCUGGGACUACAGGCACCCGCCACCAUGCCUGGCUAAUUUUUUUGUAUUUUUAUUAGAGAUGGGGUUUCACUGUGUGUUAGCCAGGAUGGUCUCGAUCUCCUGACCUCGUGAUCCGCCUGCCUUGGCCUCCCAAAGUGCUGGGAUUACAGGUGUGAGCUACCGCACCUGGCCCCCAUGAGAUUCCUAAUAUCAUUUGUGCCAUGACAUUGUGCUACACCCAAAUGUAUAUUUUAUUUUAUCAUUUCAAAAUAAUUCAAUAAAUAUAAUUUUAAAAGCAAACAC
RNAcentral lists this long non-coding RNA (974 nucleotides) under Homo sapiens (human). Its description in RNAcentral is "HSALNT0180257". The record is from RNAcentral. Lineage: Eukaryota; Metazoa; Chordata; Mammalia; Primates; Hominidae.